AAUCUGACCUCAAAUCAGGUAGGGCUACCCGCUGAACUUAAGCAUAUCAAUAAGCGGAGGAAAGGAAACUAACAAGGAUUCCCUCAGUAACGGCGAGUGAACCGGGAAGAGCUCAAAUUUGUAAUCUGGCGUGCUCUGUGCGUCCGAGUUGUAAUCUAUAGAAGUGUUUUCCGCGCCGGAUCGUGUCCAAGUUCCUUGGAAUAGGAUAUCAUAGAGGGUGACAAUCCCGUCCUUGACACGACUACCGGUGCUCUGUGAUACACUUUCUACGAGUCGAGUUGUUUGGGAAUGCAGCUCAAAAUGGGUGGUGAGUUCCAUCUAAAGCUAAAUAUUGGCGAGAGACCGAUAGCGAACAAGUACCGUGAGGGAAAGAUGAAAAGCACUUGAAAGAGAGUAAACAGUA
This 403-nucleotide ribosomal RNA is filed under the name Tremella lobariacearum. RNAcentral's name for it is "eukaryotic LSU rRNA". It matches the Rfam family "Eukaryotic large subunit ribosomal RNA", at positions 1 to 397 of the family's 3401-position model. Lineage: Eukaryota; Fungi; Basidiomycota; Tremellomycetes; Tremellales; Tremellaceae. The record is from RNAcentral.